UAUGGCUCAGGAUGAACGCUAGCUACAGGCUAACACAUGCAAGUCGAGGGGCAGCAUAUCGAAGCUUGCUUGAUAGAUGGCGACCGGCGCACGGGUGAGUAACGCGUAUCCAACCUUCCCAUCACUCAGGGAUAGCCCGCCGAAAGGCGAAUUAAUACCUGAUGGUCUCCUUUGCAGACAUCUAACGAGGAGUAAAGAUUUAUUGGUGAUGGAUGGGGAUGCGUCUGAUUAGGUAGUAGGCGGGGUAACGGCCCACCUAGCCGACGAUCAGUAGGGGUUCUGAGAGGAAGGUCCCCCACAUUGGAACUGAGACACGGUCCAAACUCCUACGGGAGGCAGCAGUGAGGAAUAUUGGUCAAUGGACGGAAGUCUGAACCAGCCAAGUAGCGUGCCAGGAUGACGGCCCUAUGGGUUGUAAACUGCUUUUAUAGGGGAAUAAAGUGAGCCACGUGUGGUUUUUUGUAUGUACCCUAUGAAUAAGGACCGGCUAAUUCCGUGCCAGCAGCAGC
This 509-nucleotide ribosomal RNA is filed under the name uncultured bacterium. RNAcentral describes it as "bacterial SSU rRNA". It matches the Rfam family "Bacterial small subunit ribosomal RNA", at positions 18 to 518 of the family's 1533-position model. The record is from RNAcentral.